GCUCGGGGUCCGCCCGCGGGCUGCAGUGCGAGCAGCGGCCGGCUCCCCUCCUCCCCCGCCCGCCGCCGCCGUGAUUGGGUGGAAGAUGGCGCUGGGCGGAUGGAAAUCCUAAUGACAGUCUCCAAAUUCGCCUCCAUCUGUACCAUGGGCGCCAAUGCUUCGGCAUUAGAGAAAGAGAUUGGUCCAGAACAGUUUCCAGUCAAUGAGCACUAUUUUGGAUUAGUCAAUUUUGGGAAUACCUGCUACUGCAAUUCAGUUCUUCAAGCACUUUAUUUUUGUCGUCCGUUUCAGGAAAAAGUUCUAGCCUACAAGAGUCAACCUAGGAAGAAGAAGAACCUUCUUACAUGCUUAGCAGAUCUCUUCCAUAGCAUAGCCACUCAGAAGAAAAAGGUUGGAGUAAUACCUCCUAAGAAGUUCAUAACAAGGUUACGGAAAGAAAAUGAGCUUUUUGACAACUACAUGCAACAAGAUGCCCAUGAAUUCUUAAAUUACCUGCUAAAUACAAUUGCUGAUAUUUUACAAGAAGAGAGAAAGCAGGAAAAACAAAAUGGUCGCUUACCUAAUGGUAAUAUUGAUAGUGAAAAUAACAACAGCACACCAGACCCAACGUGGGUUCAUGAGAUUUUUCAGGGAACAUUAACUAAUGAAACCAGAUGUCUUACUUGUGAAACUAUAAGCAGCAAAGAUGAAGAUUUUUUAGAUCUUUCUGUUGACGUGGAACAAAACACAUCAAUUACUCACUGCUUAAGGGGUUUUAGCAACACAGAAACUCUCUGCAGUGAAUACAAAUAUUACUGUGAAGAGUGUCGCAGCAAACAGGAAGCACACAAACGGAUGAAAGUUAAAAAACUGCCCAUGAUUCUAGCUCUACACCUGAAGAGAUUCAAAUAUAUGGAUCAGCUUCAUCGAUAUACAAAACUUUCUUACCGGGUAGUUUUGCCUUUAGAACUUCGUCUAUUUAACACUUCAGGCGAUGCAACCAAUCCAGACAGAAUGUAUGACCUUGUUGCUGUUGUGGUUCACUGUGGAAGUGGUCCCAAUCGAGGCCAUUAUAUUGCAAUAGUUAAAAGUCAUGAUUUUUGGUUGUUGUUCGAUGACGACAUUGUAGAAAAAAUAGAUGCACAAGCUAUUGAAGAAUUCUACGGGUUGACAUCAGACAUCUCAAAGAACUCUGAGUCUGGUUACAUCCUUUUCUACCAGUCUCGGGACUGAGGGGGAAUCACGAUGAAGAGAUACUUUCUGCCUCAUUUCUUCUCUGGUUAUUUUGGAAAGGAUCAAGCACUGUUUUUUCAAGAAAAGAGAAAUGCAGGAAGCUCAGGGGGCAGCAGCACACUUUGCACACAGUGAAGCAAAGACGAUGGAUAACAAGCCCUUCCGAUCAUGGUAGUUGAUUUAUUUGCUUAGGUAUCAUGCUGUACGUGCAGUUCCAUAUGACAAGGAAGUGAAAGCAGAGAUACCUGCUCCUCUUGUAAAACAGCCUUCCAGUUACUGACAGGCAUCUUCUCUUCAUUAAUUGCACCAGUAAUGAUUUGAGUUCCUUGGGGGUGCAGUAGAAGGAAUUGGAAUCUGUGCUAGCUUGUAUUGAUAAUUUAAGGAGAUGAUGCUGAACACGCUGCAUAAAUUCGUCUGUGUUCAGUUAUGUAUAAAAGCAUAUUUACUGGUCUUUUCAAGAGUAAACCAGAAAUACUUUUGGGCCCAACACUUGCAGUUGCCUUCCUGAUGUAAAAAACUAACAAAUGCUAGAUAAUCCAGUGUCAGGAAGACAAAUAUGUUUUGCUUCUCUGAAGAAGCUUAUAAUAAUAUACAGUAUAUGUAUAUGUAGGGAACAAUUGGUCAAAAGUGGCUUUUUGUUUCCCCAAGGGGAAAGACUGGCUUUGUAAUUAUAACUUUUUCCUUAUUUAUUUUACUUAAAACUGGUAGAGUCUAAGUAUUGUAUGAAGUGCCCAUGAUUCUGUCAGUAAAUUUGAGCACAUUUUUCUUAGUUUAUGUCAGUUUAACUAGUCCUUUUGUUUGUUCUAUUUUUAAGGUGAAUUUUAAAUUCUAUCUAAAAUUGGUAAGAUACCUUGAAAACUUGCAAUGAGAGGAGGUGAAUAUUCUUUUUCAGGAGGAACUGAUAUCUCUGGCUAAAUAUUUGUCCUUUUACUAUAGUUUAUAAGUCAGUUAUGUAUUGAGCUUUAAUUUCAGUAAAAUAAAAAACUAU
This is a non-coding RNA of Microcebus murinus (gray mouse lemur), 2200 nucleotides long. The record is from RefSeq and is a predicted model, not a curated record. NCBI's taxonomy places the organism in Eukaryota, Metazoa, Chordata, Mammalia, Primates, Cheirogaleidae.